CGUUUUUUGCUUUUUGUUUGUUCGUUUGUUUUUUGAGACAGAGUUUCGCCCUUGCUGUGAACUACCAUAGGCUGGAGUGCAAUGGCGCAAUCCCAGCUCACCACAACCUCUGUCUCGUAGGUUCAAGCCAGCAGGGCGAGCCCCUACCCCAGAGUGAAGGUGGACUUUGCCCUCUCGUGCCACGAGGACUUGCUGGCACCCGUCUCUGAGCCCAUCGAGUGGAAAUACCACAGCCCUGAGGAGGAGAUAAGCCUUGGACCUGCCUGCUGGCUCUGGGAUUUUUUAAGACGAAGCGAACAGGUCUGCGAGGCCGUGAGGAGCGGAAAUGAGGAAGUGCUGGCUGAUGUCCGCACCAUCGUGAACCAGAUCAGCUACACCCCCAGGAUCCCCGAGACCUCUGUGGACGCAUACUGACCACCUGCUACAUGGCCAGCAAGAACUCCUCCCAAGAGACGUGCACCCGAGCCAGAGAGUUGGCCCAGCAGAUUGGAAGCCACCACAUCAGUCUCAACAUCGAUCCAGCUGUGAAGGCCGUCAUGGGCAUCUUCAGCCUGGUGACGGGGAAGAGCCCUCUAUUCGCAGCUCAUGGAGGAAGCAGCAGGGAAAACCUGGGGCUGCAAAAUGUGCAGGCUCGAAUACGGAUGGUCCUCGCCUAUCUGUUCGCUCAGCUGAGCCUCUGGUCUCGGGGCGUCCGCGGUGGGCUCCUCGUGCUGGGAUCUGCCAACGUGGAUGAGAGUCUCCUGGGCUACCUGACCAAGUACGACUGCU
This 768-nucleotide small RNA is filed under the name Pongo abelii (Sumatran orangutan). RNAcentral describes it as "processed transcript". Lineage: Eukaryota; Metazoa; Chordata; Mammalia; Primates; Hominidae. The record is from RNAcentral.